Molecule: long non-coding RNA, 2165 nt
Filed under: Panax ginseng (ginseng)
Lineage: Eukaryota; Viridiplantae; Streptophyta; Magnoliopsida; Apiales; Araliaceae
Description: long non-coding RNA (PGIN_LNC017717)
Source: RNAcentral
GGGGGGGGGCAUGGCCCCCUGCAGCCAUGAGUUGGUUUCGUCCUUGCAAAUCUCGAACUCUCGAACUCUCGGCGCCGGCGACCCUUCAUCUCGAACUCUCGAACUCUCAGAUCUCGGCGCCGGCGGCAGCUCUCCAUUUGUUAUGGUAAUUUUGUUAUUUACCUUUACUAAAUUCUCAAAGACCGAUUACUUUUAGUGUGGGUGGGUGUCUACAUAUAUUUCAAAUAUUGUUGGUUCGGACUUUCGGAUCGAUGUGAAUCUUGCCAAUGGUGUCACUUGUCAUGAGAAUCAGAAAAAUCAAAUAGCUUCAUCAUUUUUAGUAAGAAUGGAAGACAUACAAAUUGUUGGAUGUCAUGUUCUUUCAUUUAAUUAAUCCUUCUAACAUUAGAAUAUACUUAUAUAUUUUUUAAUUUGACUGAGUUCCAUAAAUUGGAGUUUGUGAUAAUUAAAAUGGCUUAUUUUAAUAUUUGCAUCAACAUAUAUACUAAUGAAGGUGUUUCUGUCCGAGCUUAGUAGUAUAACAUGAAUUAGAUUUAGACAUCAUAAUUCCAUAGAUUUGCUCCCUAUACUUUCUUUUGGAUAUGAUUUUUUGCCUCUACUAAUUCUUUUUUUUAAAAUCCAGAUUAGAAAAGCUAUCACUUAUAUUGGUUGCUUUUUUAAAUGAAAUUAAUGAAAUGAAUAUUUCUUCCACUCUGCCUGGUUAAUUCUCCUUGGUUUGGUCAUUGGUGUUAUAUAAUGAUUUCAUUUUACCUUUGCUCUGGGUCAAAUAUUGAGGUCUGACUUUUAAGGAAUUGUGUGGGAGAUUUUCAAUUUUGAGGAAGAAAUGGGUUGUAGUUUGCUAGUCCAAAAGAAUUGUGAUUUUUGAUUCUUGUAGUUAACUGUGUCAAUAAGAAAAAAUAUUAAUCUCUUGGUGGUUUCAGAUUUUAGUAGGAGAAAAGUUCUACUAGUUUUUAUUUUCUAGACUCUGUUUUCUUAUCAAUGUUUAUUUUAGCUGUAAGGUUACCUUGAUACUUAUUUAGUUAUUUUUAUCUAUUAGUAAUGAAUGUUUGAUAGUUUGAUAGUUGGUGUCCUUUUUGAAGUCAUCAGUGUUCUCUUUGGUUGUUGCUAUACGUAUUUUGCAGGAUAUUUUUGUUCUUCCCUUUCAUUUAUUUAGUAGCUUGCAAAGGUGAUGAUGGUGAUUUUAGCAUCAGCUGCAUCUCAAAAGUCUACUUUUAAGGUCUAUGUUUUAAUUUUUUAAAAAUUUGUGUACUUUGGUCAUGGAAAAGCCUGCAAUUUAAUAUCUAUAUAACAAUCUUCUAUGGCCUUUUUAUCUUAAGUUUCCUAUAUUCUUAGUCUGUAUUAUAUACUGCUACAAAGUGUUAUCAGUUUUGAUUUUUUUUAGUUAUUAGUACUCUUUGUUUAUUCUGUUUAAUGUCUUCACAUCUAUUUGUUUUGAUUCAUGCACCAAUAGUGUACAUGUGUUUAUUCUGUUUCACUCAAUGAAGUUUUGUUAUGUGCAUUACCAUCAAAAAUCUUAUUCAGUUUACAAAAACAAUUUGUAAAACAAACCUUUCAUACGUUUUUAUGCUGUGAUAACUAUAUUAUUGUCUUUUGAGUUUUUUUAUUGGCUCUUUUACUAUUGAAACAUUCACUUACAAGCUAUUUAAUUAAUUUUUAGAGUGGCAUACUCAAAGAUGGCCGAGGAGGUUUGCAAUUUGCUUCUAGCUGAUAGUGGAUUUAAACUUGUUGGCUACUUGGCUAUUGCUGUUUGGGCUCGACUCAGUUGGCUGGCAGCUGCAUGUUGUUGAUUGAUAUUAAUCAUGUAGUCACUGUCUCAUUGUAGGAAAUGUUCUGUAUUUCUGUUGUUGGCUUGUUGUUGUUAUCUGUCGAAUGACAGUUCAUGUUUUUGUAAUAUGUAGACCGUAGUUGGCUAGUUGCUGCUGUCUUUUGUAAUAUGUAGGAACUGUUCUGCUGCUGGCUUGUUGCUACUGUUGAAUACUCACCUGUUCAAUUCACUGUACUUGCUAAGUCUUUUAAAUUCGGUUAUUCGGUUAUCAUAAAAUUCGGUUAAUUGUUCAGAUACCUAAAAUAGUAUAAGUUCGGUUUUCGGUUAUAACCGAAAUACUUAUUCGGUUCGGUUAAUAACCGAAUGCUCACCCCUAACUACAUUUGCUUGUAAAAAUUAC